UAUACAUUGAGUUCCAGGAUGGUAAGAAGGCUUGUUAAGGAGAUGUUGAUUCUCAAGUUAUUCUGUUGCGUGGAUGAGCAUUGCUUCCAGGACUCACAUAAUUGUACUUAAAAUCAUAGAAUGUUAGAGCUGGAGGAAUCCUUAGAGUUUGCCCAAGAUCCUUCAACAGCAUUUCACAGGUGCAUCUGGAUCCAAGGCAAAGAAACUAUGGCAAAGAAGCCAACCAUGACUUCUUCUUGGCUCUGUAAGAGGAUGUUACACUUGCUACAAGUGUUACACAUAUUCCCAUUCUUUUCUAAGACUAAAGAAAGUAUCAAAGAUGCAAAUUUCAAUAAUAACAUGUUCAAG
Molecule: long non-coding RNA, 348 nt
Filed under: Equus caballus (horse)
Lineage: Eukaryota; Metazoa; Chordata; Mammalia; Perissodactyla; Equidae
Description: lncRNA (ENSECAG00000043982.1)
Source: RNAcentral